RNAcentral lists this ribosomal RNA (465 nucleotides) under uncultured bacterium. RNAcentral describes it as "bacterial SSU rRNA". It matches the Rfam family "Bacterial small subunit ribosomal RNA", at positions 338 to 795 of the family's 1533-position model. The record is from RNAcentral.
CCUACGGGUCGCACCAGUGGGGAAUAUUGGACAAUGGGCGCAAGCCUGAUCCAGCCAUACCGCGUGGGUGAAGAAGGCCUUCGGGUUGUAAAGCCCUUUUGUUGGGAAAGAAAUCCAGCCGGCUAAUACCUGGUUGGGAUGACGGUACCCAAAGAAUAAGCACCUGCUAACUUCGUGCCAGCAGCCGCGGUAAUACGAAGGGUGCAAGCGUUACUCGGAAUUACUGGGCGUAAAGCGUGCGUAGGUGGUCGUUUAAGUCCGUUGUGAAAGCCCUGGGCUCAACCUGGGAACUGCAGUGGAUACUGGGCGACUAGAGUGUGGUAGAGGGUAGCGGAAUUCCUGGUGUAGCAGUGAAAUGCGUAGAGAUCAGGAGGAACAUCCAUGGCGAAGGCAGCUACCUGGACCAACACUGACACUGAGGCACGAAAGCGUGGGGAGCAAACAGGAUUAGAUACCCUGGUAGUC